UACGUAGGGGGCAAGCGUUAUCCGGAAUCAUUGGGUUUAAAGGGUCCGUGGGCGGGUUUAUAAGUCAGUGGUGAAAGUCUGCAGCUUAACUGUAGAACUGCCAUUGAUACUGUAGAUCUUGAAUUAUUAUGAAGUGGUUAGAAUAUGUAGUGUAGCGGUGAAAUGCAUAGAUAUUACAUAGAAUACCGAUUACGAAGGCAGAUCACUAAUAAUUCACUGACGCUGAGGGACGAAAGCGUAGGUAGCGAACAGG
This 253-nucleotide unclassified non-coding RNA is filed under the name uncultured Flavobacteriaceae bacterium. Its description in RNAcentral is "contains 16S-23S intergenic spacer region". It matches the Rfam family "Bacterial small subunit ribosomal RNA", at positions 524 to 776 of the family's 1533-position model. Lineage: Bacteria; Pseudomonadati; Bacteroidota; Flavobacteriia; Flavobacteriales; Flavobacteriaceae. The record is from RNAcentral.